This 468-nucleotide ribosomal RNA is filed under the name uncultured bacterium. RNAcentral's name for it is "partial 16S ribosomal RNA". It matches the Rfam family "Bacterial small subunit ribosomal RNA", at positions 28 to 507 of the family's 1533-position model. The record is from RNAcentral.
GACGAACGCUGGCGGCGUGCUUAACACAUGCAAGUCGAACGGAAAGGCCCUGCGUUUGUGGGGUGCACGAGUGGCGAACGGGUGAGUAACACGUGAGUAACAUGCACUUGACUUUGGGAUAACUUCAGGAAACUGGGGAUAAUACCGGGUAGGAGCUCCUGCAGCAUGGUGGGGGUUGGAAAGUUUCGGCGGUUGGGGAUGGACUGGCGGCUUAUCAGCUUGUUGGUUGGGUAGUGGCUGACGAAGGUUUUGACGGGUAGCCGGCCUGAGAGGGUGACCGGGCACAUUGGGCCUGCGAUACGGCCCAGAAGGCUACGGGAGGCAGCAGUGGGGAAUAUGGCACAAUGGGCGGAAGCCUGAUGCAGCAACGCCGCGUGCGGGAUGACGGCCUUCGGGUUGUAAACCGCUUUCGCCUGUGACGAAGCGUGAGUGACGGUAAUGGGUAAAGAAGCACCGGCUAACUACGUG